GUAUUUUCCAAAUAAUUGUCUUGACUUGUUCGGCUGCGUCUCAGGUGGAGAAAAUGAACAUGACCAUGCAGCUCUUUUGGGUUUAGUGGAGUUGGCUCUGUAAAUACAAACAGCUAGCACAUAGACACUUCUAAUACAUAAUAUCUAAAAUAUCUAAAUUGGCUUGUGCUUCAUUCUUCACUGCAGAUCAAAACAACAACUCAACAGCCCUUGAAGGAGCAUCUGGAGAUGUUUCUGAUGCAUAUUGGAUAUUUUGCUUCUCUUAUUCAUAGACAAGAAGAAUGUGCCAGUCAAGGAAAAAUGGAAGGUAUUUCAAAAACAAAACAUAAACCCACGAAAUGAAGUACACAUGCACAGGGAUGUCAUUUCCCAUGGAAGACCAGAAGAUGCAUAAGAACAUACUAAAAGGAGCAUCUACAGAUGUUUCUGAUGGAUUUUGGGCAACUAAUUGAAAGUUGCUUCAACUAGUUAACUAAUAUCAACUUCUUCUACUAUCUGGCAUUCACAGUGAAAUGGAAGCAUGACAAGCGCAAAUGAGACCAAAUGAACCAUGGACGGACAGCAACAGCGAGGACACAGAGAGUGCAGAUGAUUGGAAUGGAAGCAUUGAAUCAUUUUAACCUCUGAUCCAAAGUGAGGAAAAUAAUAUACAGACAAAUACCAUAGAGAGCAAACUCCAGUACAGAACUCAUGGUCAUGUACUUCACCUGAGAGGCCAAACGAGUCUUAUUUGGGGCAGAACAAUCCAAUCUUUCUUUACAUAGUGAGAAAGAAACGGUGGAUUGGUGAUUAAAGAUUUUAAAUGAAUAAAGAUUGGUUCCUGGCUUCAGCUCAAAGCGGUUGAGAACCCAAACUGUGUUGAAUAUGAGAGCUGUUGGUGUUUGAGCACAGGGGGGCAGUGUGACACAUCAAAUGAAAUGGCCAAAUAUUGAACCCGAUUCUGCUGACCUUACUGUACAUCUCCAUCAACAGCUCAUUGCAGAACGACAACAGAACAAAACUGCUAUAUUAAAAUCAUCUUUAACUGUAUAUAAAGAGUCCUGGGCCUCUAAAUGAUCAAAACAUGUGUUGUACACAAUCUACUGAUAUAUUGUUAUAUUUUAAGACGAACAACUACUUGACUGAAUCAGCUUGGGUUUACUGAUUUAUACAUUUAUCAUUAUUUAGAAAAUCAUAUAUUAAAUGCCCC
This is a long non-coding RNA of Cyprinus carpio carpio, 1189 nucleotides long. The record is from Ensembl. NCBI's taxonomy places the organism in Eukaryota, Metazoa, Chordata, Actinopteri, Cypriniformes, Cyprinidae.